UACAGAGGGUGCGAGCGUUGUCCGGAAUUACUGGGCGUAAAGGGCGCGUAGGCGGCUUGGUAAGUCGGGGGUGAAAGUCAGCGGCUCAACCGCUGGACUGCCUUCGAGACUGCCUGGCUUGAGCAUGGUAGAGGCUGGCGGAAUUCCCGGUGUAGCGGUGAAAUGCGCAGAUAUCGGGAAGAACACCCGUGGCGAAGGCGGCUCUCUGGAACGCAACUGACGCUGAGACGCGAAAGCGUGGGGAGCAAACAGG
This 253-nucleotide ribosomal RNA is filed under the name uncultured bacterium. RNAcentral describes it as "partial 16S ribosomal RNA". It matches the Rfam family "Bacterial small subunit ribosomal RNA", at positions 524 to 776 of the family's 1533-position model. The record is from RNAcentral.